GCGUGCUUAACACAUGCAAGUCGAGCGGUAAGGCCUUUCGGGGUACACGAGCGGCGAACGGGUGAGUAACACGUGGGUGAUCUGCCCUGCACUUCGGGAUAAGCCUGGGAAACUGGGUCUAAUACCGGAUAUGACCUCAGGUUGCAUGACUUGGGGUGGAAAGAUUUAUCGGUGCAGGAUGGGCCCGCGGCCUAUCAGCUUGUUGGUGGGGUAAUGGCCUACCAAGGCGACGACGGGUAGCCGACCUGAGAGGGUGACCGGCCACACUGGGACUGAGACACGGCCCAGACUCCUACGGGAGGCAGCAGUGGGGAAUAUUGCACAAUGGGCGAAAGCCUGAUGCAGCGACGCCGCGUGAGGGAUGACGGCCUUCGGGUUGUAAACCUCUUUCAGCAGGGACGAAGCGCAAGUGACGGUACCUGCAGAAGAAGCACCGGCUAACUACGUGCCAGCAGCCGCGGUAAUACGUAGGGUGCAAGCGUUGUCCGGAAUUACUGGGCGUAAAGAGUUCGUAGGCGGUUUGUCGCGUCGUUUGUGAAAACCAGCAGCUCAACUGCUGGCUUGCAGGCGAUACGGGCAGACUUGAGUACUGCAGGGGAGACUGGAAUUCCUGGUGUAGCGGUGAAAUGCGCAGAUAUCAGGAGGAACACCGGUGGCGAAGGCGGGUCUCUGGGCAGUAACUGACGCUGAGGAACGAAAGCGUGGGUAGCGAACAGGAUUAGAUACCCUGGUAGUCCACGCCGUAAACGGUGGGC
Molecule: ribosomal RNA, 755 nt
Filed under: Rhodococcus sp. (in: high G+C Gram-positive bacteria)
Lineage: Bacteria; Bacillati; Actinomycetota; Actinomycetes; Mycobacteriales; Nocardiaceae
Description: bacterial SSU rRNA
Rfam family: Bacterial small subunit ribosomal RNA
Source: RNAcentral